GAGUUGUAUCCUGGCUCAGGACGAACGCUGGCGGCGUGCUUAACACAUGCAAGUCGACGGAAAGGCUCCUGCUUGCAGGGGUACUCGAGUGGCGAACGGGUGAGUAACACGUGGGUGAUCUGCCUUGUACUCUGGGAUAAGCUUGGGAAACUGGGUCUAAUACCGGAUAGUAGCUGCCUUUAGUGUGGUGGUUGGAAAGUUUUUCGGUGCAAGAUGAGCUCGCGGCCUAUCAGCUUGUUGUGGGGUAAUGGCCUACCAAGGCGUCGACGGGUAGCCGGCCUGAGAGGGUGUACGGCCACAUUGGGACUGAGAUACGGCCCAGACUCCUACGGGAGGCAGCAGUGGGGAAUAUUGCACAAUGGGCGGAAGCCUGAUGCAGCGACGCCGCGUGGGGGAUGACGGCCUUCGGGUCGUAAACUCCUUUCGACAGGGACGAAGCUUUUGUGACGGUACCUGUAUAAGAAGCACCGGCUAACUACGUG
RNAcentral lists this ribosomal RNA (482 nucleotides) under uncultured Corynebacterium sp. RNAcentral describes it as "bacterial SSU rRNA". It matches the Rfam family "Bacterial small subunit ribosomal RNA", at positions 9 to 507 of the family's 1533-position model. The record is from RNAcentral. Lineage: Bacteria; Bacillati; Actinomycetota; Actinomycetes; Mycobacteriales; Corynebacteriaceae.